UCCUAUUUAAUGAGGGUGCCACAACCUGUUUUAAUGUGCCAUGUUUGGCUGAGAAUGGGCAUGAAAAUGAGAGGAAAUAAUGAAAAAAAUCUGAAAAAAAGAUAAGAAAAAAAAGAGAAAAAUAGAAAGGAAGGGAGAAGAGAAAAAUGAUAGUACGAGAUACUUGUCCUAAGAUUAGAUUGUUCAUGUGUUAAAUAUAAAAUUUGAUUAGAGUGUGGUUUGAUACUUUGGAAAAGGGUUCCUAGAGUAGUCUUAGUGGAGGUCACGAAGGCAUACAAGCAAUGAUGUAUCAAGUUCUUACGAAGGACUAUCGGCAGCGCACUUAGGAAGAAGGCUGCAGCAUCAUGACGAGUUGGGAAGGAUCCUGAUUAAUUCUGUGUGGAUCACCGUUGGAGAGCUUUUUUUUUGGAGUCUCGUGGAUAUCUCAAAAUCAUCGGUUCAUGAUCUUCAUGGUGAAUCUAACAGAAACCAUGACUGAUGGUGGUCGGCAAAGCAAGGAAGAAAGCCAAAACAGGAGAUCUGAUUUCAAACAUGGGUUCCGACGAGCUGCCGGCUUAAAUCAAGUUUGGUUGACGGUCAUGGGGUCAGGAGGAGGAGGAGAAUAAGAGUUUAGAUCCUUACCUAAUUCUGGUGAAGCCAAGAAGAUGAUCCAGCCUAUUUCUCGUGAAAUUCGAGGGAACAACUCGAUCAGAAUUUUGAAAAUCAGUGGCAGCUUCUUGAGGAACUUUGUGAUGAAAUUCAAGGGAGGAGAAGAGUCCUUUUUAUAGAGGGGUCUUUAAGGUUUUUAAUCCCGGUUUGGAAGCCCUAACAUUUUCUUUUCUCAGUCGGAAUCGGAGAAGAGGUCGGGUGCAUAGUUGGUGAGGUUUCUAUUUUUUUGUUUUUCCGAUUGCUUUAAAAUUCAUGUGAAAAAAAUUCAAAAGGGAGUUUAUCCGAGAUGGCGCGUUUGGAUUUUAUCCUCCCAGUCUAAAACUGCGGGCUUUCAGUAGUCCCAGCAAAGGGAGUCAUCGGGAGCAGCUUGUGCUUUGUUCCGACUCCCAAAGUUUUUGAAAUGAGAUGAGGAAGUAAGAGACUUCCACCGUAGUUAUAUUAUAUAGUAUAAUAGAUGAUUAUAGAAAACAACAGGCUCCGGGAUGCAGGCGAUGCCCUUGUUGGUACAAGGGAUGCCUUAAUCUGGGACCAUGAUUAUCAACUCGUACAAUGUUGAACUGAUAAUUGGAAACCCCUAUUCGCAAUACAAAGAUUGAGUGCUCCUCUCAAGCAUUUACAUGCAUUGGUUGUGGUAGAGGCUCAGGAGGUGACGUCGGAUUUUGGAAGGCUUGCAUGUGGUGAAGGAGGUCCAUUCAUGGUAUAACCAUGCUAUCCAUUGCCUCCAGAUAUGCCAAAGGUCUUUCCGAAAAAUGCUGAAAAUUUGUGCUAUCAAGGAUUUUGGACCAGAUUUUUCUGACAAAAGCACAGGCCAACAUCAGGUGAUCCAAGCUUUCGGGGUGGCACGAGCAAAGAGGGCAUGAGGGAGGACCUUGAGCGCCUUUUUUUUUUGUAGUAUGUCAGCAGUAAGCACCCUGUUGUGAUAACAAAGCUAGCUAAAGAUUUUAACCUUUUCAGGUAAUGGUGUCUUCCAAAUGAUUUUGCUGAAGAAGGAAGUUAUGCCGCCAUGGAUCAUGAAGAAAGUAGCUUCUCCUAACUGUAAAUGAACCAGAAGGAUGCCAUUUCCGACUCCUAAAGUCAGUAGAUGGAGUCAAGCUUCAGAUUUGCCUAGCUGAACUGGACUUGGGCAUUUAUUUGGGUCAAGAUCAAAAUAAAAUACAUGCUUCAUAUC
Long non-coding RNA from Elaeis guineensis (African oil palm), 1816 nucleotides. RefSeq lists it as uncharacterized. The record is from RefSeq and is a predicted model, not a curated record. NCBI's taxonomy places the organism in Eukaryota, Viridiplantae, Streptophyta, Magnoliopsida, Arecales, Arecaceae.